This 550-nucleotide ribosomal RNA is filed under the name Wickerhamomyces sp. RNAcentral describes it as "eukaryotic LSU rRNA". It matches the Rfam family "Eukaryotic large subunit ribosomal RNA", at positions 102 to 660 of the family's 3401-position model. The record is from RNAcentral. Lineage: Eukaryota; Fungi; Ascomycota; Saccharomycetes; Phaffomycetales; Wickerhamomycetaceae.
CAAAAGCUCAAAUUUGAAAUCUAGCACCUUCGGUGUUCGAGUUGUAAUUUGAAGAUGGUAACCUUGGGUUUGGCUCUUGUCUAUGUUCCUUGGAACAGGACGUCAUAGAGGGUGAGAAUCCCGUCUGAUGAGAUGCCCAUUCCUAUGUAAGGUGCUAUCGAAGAGUCGAGUUGUUUGGGAAUGCAGCUCUAAGUGGGUGGUAAAUUCCAUCUAAAGCUAAAUAUUGGCGAGAGACCGAUAGCGAACAAGUACAGUGAUGGAAAGAUGAAAAGAACUUUGAAAAGAGAGUGAAAAAGUACGUGAAAUUGUUGAAAGGGAAGGGCAUUAGAUCAGACUUGGUGUUUUACGAUUAUCUUCUCUUCUUGAGUUGUGCACUCGUAUUUCACUGGGCCAGCAUCGAUUCGGAUGGCAAGAUAAUGGCAGUUGAAUGUGGCUUCACUUCGGUGGAGUGUUAUAGCUUCUGCUGAUAUUGCCUGUCUGGAUCGAGGGCUGCGUCUUUUGACUAGGAUGCUGGCGUAAUGAUCUAAUGCCGCCCGUCUUGGCCCGCAAC